Molecule: long non-coding RNA, 1335 nt
Organism: Leptidea sinapis
Lineage: Eukaryota; Metazoa; Arthropoda; Insecta; Lepidoptera; Pieridae
Exons: 4
Source: RefSeq, a predicted model, not a curated record
GUUGACUGUUUUAAUUUUUAAAGGUGUUCAACGUUAAAUUUAAAGAUUGUUUUAUAAAUAUAAUAAUAUGUUAUUAAAGAUGAGGAUUAUUGUGUUCAGUGUGAGUUUUCUUCAUUUAGUAUUCAUUACGCUGUAUAUGCUUUCGAUUGAUUUUACUAAUGCACCCGACCUUGAAAUGAGAUCGUACCAGUAUAAACGGUGGGGACUUUUAACGUCGUGGUUUAAUUUGUUAUUAGGUCCCUACCUGCAACUUGCUAUCUAUUGUGACUGGAAGGAACUUAAAAAUGAUCAACCAAGCAAAACACUAACCAAUAUUAGGGAUGUGAUUUUUACAAGUUUGCUCUGGCCAAUUGUAUCGUUUUCAGACAUGUUUUUUUGGAGUUUAUUUGUGAAUAAUCCCGUGAUGAUGAUGCCUUUAAUGGCACCAAAAUAUGUACCAACCUGGGCUCAGCACAGUAUGCAUACAGUCUCUUUUGUAAUCGUUGCAUUCGAUUUACUAACAAAGCCCCGGGAACGACCGAAAAGUGUAAAAAAUGGAUUUUAUCUAACAAUAGCAUUCUUGGUCCUAUAUACUGCUGUGCUGAUCGAGAAUAUGUUUCAAGGGAUCUAUCUCUAUCCAUUACUUGAGAUUUUGCCUUGGUAUAAGUUGGUGCUGUUUGCUGUCUAUGCCUACGUUGGGCACAUGUUCUACUACACAAUACAAUGGAUCAUAAUUGAUUUAGUAUGGAGAUCAAGAAUUACUUCAAUACCUAUGAAUAAAGGAUUAGAAAAGGAACCCAAAGGACACUAAUGAAUUUCAAGCAAUUAAUAAUAAUUAAGGCGCCUAUUUCUGCCGCAAAGCAGUAAUGUGUAAACAUUACUGUGUUUCGGUCUGAAAGGCGUGUAGCUAGUGAAAUUACUGGGGAAAUAAGUCUUUAGAUCUUAUGUCUCAAGGUGACGAGCGCAAUUGUAGUGCAGUCCAGAAUUUUUGGUCUUUUCAAUAAUCCGGAGCGGCACUGCAUUGUAAUGGGCAGGGCGUAUCAAUUACCAUCAGCUGAACAUCCUGCUCGUCUCGUCCCGUUUUUUCAUAAAAAAAAAUUAUUGCUAAAAAAAUUAACCAGGUUAUUAUUGAAGAAUUUAAUUAAUUUAUUAGGUUAUUAAAAGGUUUUUUAAUUCAAUUAGAUAGAGUUUUAUAUGUUGGCUUAUCGUAUUACACUAUUGAUUUUUUGUGCACUGAAUGCGUUGUAUAAAAAGUUAAGUAUUUUGGAUUGUAAUUGUACAAAGUCUGCGAUGUUUUUGCGUGUAAUCAUAAGUGAGCGUGACAAGUGAUAAUGAAAAUAAAAUUAUUUAAAAAUG